UACGUAGGGACCAAGCGUUGUUCGGAUUUACUGGGCGUAAAGGGCGCGUAGGCGGCGAAUCAAGUCAGUUGUGAAAUCUCCGAGCUUAACUCGGAACGGUCAACUGAUACUGUUUUGCUAGAGUACAGAAGGGGCAACCGGAAUUCUUGGUGUAGCGGUGAAAUGCGCAGAUAUCAGGAAGAACACCCGUGGCGAAGGCGGCUCUCUGGGACGGUACUGACGCUGAGACGCGAAAGCGUGGGGAGCGAACAGG
Molecule: ribosomal RNA, 253 nt
Filed under: uncultured bacterium
Lineage: Bacteria
Description: partial 16S ribosomal RNA
Rfam family: Bacterial small subunit ribosomal RNA
Source: RNAcentral